CAGCCGCAACAGCCCGCUGGCUCGCACGGGGUGCUCUUCACCGAGUGUCCCGCGUGGCCGGCAGAGUUUACUUUGAAAAAAUUAGAGUGCUCAAAGCAGGCUACACUGACAGCCUGAAUGCCUAUGCAUGGAAUAAUGGAAUAGGACCUCGGUUCUAUUUUGUCGGUUUUCUGAACCCGAGGUAAUGACUAAUAGGAACUGGCGGGGGCAUUCGUAUUGCGACGCUAGAGGUGAAAUUCUUGGACCGUCGCAAGACGAACUACUGCGAAAGCAUUUGCCAAGGAUGUUUUCAUUAAUCAAGAACGAAAGUUAGAGGUUCGAAGGCGAUCAGAUACCGCCCUAGUUCUAACCAUAAACGAUGCUGACCAGCGAUCCGCCGGCGUUAUUCCCAUGACCCGGCGGGCAGCUUCCGGGAAACCAAAGUCUUUGGGUUCCGGGGGAAGUAUGGUUGCAAAGCUGAAACUUAAAGGAAUUGACGGAAGGGCACCACCAGGAGUGGAGCCUGCGGCUUAAUUUGACUCAACACGGGGAACCUCACCAGGCCCAGACACCGGAAGGAUUGACAGAUUGAGAGCUCUUUCUCGAUUCGGUGGGUGGUGGUGCAUGGCCGUUCUUANUUGGUGGAGCGAUUUGUCUGGUUAAUUCC
RNAcentral lists this ribosomal RNA (646 nucleotides) under Potamonautes rayboldi. RNAcentral's name for it is "SSU rRNA". It matches the Rfam family "Eukaryotic small subunit ribosomal RNA", at positions 685 to 1326 of the family's 1831-position model. Lineage: Eukaryota; Metazoa; Arthropoda; Malacostraca; Decapoda; Potamonautidae. The record is from RNAcentral.